This 778-nucleotide long non-coding RNA is filed under the name Homo sapiens (human). Its description in RNAcentral is "HSALNT0400686". Lineage: Eukaryota; Metazoa; Chordata; Mammalia; Primates; Hominidae. The record is from RNAcentral.
GGCAAAACUAGAAAGAGGCCCCAAUAUAGCAGGUGAUUAUGCAAGGUGUCCAGUAUUCUCCAGACACUUUCUCUCAGGAUAAGGAAAGGGGACAGGAAGCUUAUGGGAAAGUUCUAGAAAAGGCAUCUUUUGCACUGUGCUGAGGCAACAGGCAGGAAUGGGGUAGCAAUCUCCAAAAACUAGGACUUCUUUCUGAGGUCUUUGACCCCAAGUGCUCCAUAGUCCAAAGCAGCUUCUCCUUCCUCCUCUCCACCCAAAGCUAUGGCGACUCCCUUGUCUGAUGCAGAUCAGUGCUGGAUGCUGUGGGGAAGAGAGUACUGGGCUGACAGUCAGUGGAUGUGGAUUUUGUUUCCCAGUUCCAUCGCUGAUUUGCAGACAUGGAUGGUCACAAAGGUGAAUUCACUUGCUCAAGAUCCAACACACACAAAAUGGAGGUGGUUCAAACCCAGGUGUGUCUGACUGCAGAGCCUGUGUUCUUCCCAGUAGAGAUGUGGAUGCAGCACAAAUGGUAGAAAGGACCUGAGACUUAGUCAGAAGACCUCAGUUCACCCAAGGUAUCUGCUAUGCCCAAGGCCUCUGCUCAGUGCUGAGGAAACAAGCAUGGACAAGAUGUGGCCUCCACCCUGAGGAGCUCCUAAAUCUAGGACAGAGUAAAUCUGUUAGAAAUGUCUUCUCUGCACAUAAUUUAAGCUCUACCAACUGUUAACUUCUUUUCAUUUAUCCAAGUUUUGCCAGGUACCACACCAAUAAAAAAAGACUCAGUCCCUCUUCCUUCAGA